UAAGGAAUAUUGCGCAAUGGGCGACAGCCUGACGCAGCGACGCCGCGUGGGGGAUGAAGGUCUUCGGAUUGUAAACCCCUUUCGGCAGGGAAGAUGGAACGGGUAACCGUUCGGACGGUACCUGCAGAAGCAGCCACGGCUAACUUCGUGCCAGCAGCCGCGGUAAUACGAAGGUGGCAAGCGUUGUUCGGAUUUACUGGGCGUACAGGGAGCGUAGGCGGUUGGGUAAGCCUUUCGUGAAAUCUCCGGGCCUAACCCGGAAAGUGCGGAGGGGACUGCUCGGCUAGAGGAUGGGAGAGGAGCGCGGAAUUCCCGGUGUAGCGGUGAAAUGCGUAGAGAUCGGGAGGAAGGCCGGUGGCGAAGGCGGCGCUCUGGAACAUAUCUGACGCUGAGGCUCGAAAGCGUGGGGAGCAAACAGGAUUAGAUACCCACGUAGUCCCUGAGCGGGCUGGCAAGGCGCAU
RNAcentral lists this ribosomal RNA (462 nucleotides) under uncultured bacterium. Its description in RNAcentral is "bacterial SSU rRNA". It matches the Rfam family "Bacterial small subunit ribosomal RNA", at positions 355 to 825 of the family's 1533-position model. The record is from RNAcentral.